Molecule: ribosomal RNA, 253 nt
Filed under: uncultured bacterium
Lineage: Bacteria
Description: partial 16S ribosomal RNA
Rfam family: Bacterial small subunit ribosomal RNA (bases 27-253)
Source: RNAcentral
UACCAGCACCCCGAGUGGUCGGGACGAUUAUUGGGCCUAAAGCAUCCGUAGCCAGUUCUGCAAGUCCCCCGUUAAAUCCAGCUGCUCAACAGAUGGGCCGCGGAGGAUACUCCAGAGCUAGGAGGCAGGAGAGGCAAGCGGUACUCAGUGGGUAGGGGUAAAAUUCGUAGAUAUUCGCAAGAACACCAGUGGCGAAGGCGGCUCACUGGCCCGAUACUGACGCUGAGGCACGAAAGCGUGGGGAGCAAACAGG